AUUGAACGCUCGCGGGAUGCUUUACACAUGCAAGUCGAACGGCAGCGCGGACUUCGGUCUGGCGGCGAGUGGCGAACGGGUGAGUAAUGUAUCGGAACGUGCCCAGUAGCGGGGGAUAACUACGCGAAAGCGUAGCUAAUACCGCAUACGCCCUACGGGGGAAAGCAGGGGAUCGUAAGACCUUGCACUAUUGGAGCGGCCGAUAUCGGAUUAGCUAGUUGGUGGGGUAACGGCUCACCAAGGCGACGAUCCGUAGCUGGUUUGAGAGGACGACCAGCCACACUGGGACUGAGACACGGCCCAGACUCCUACGGGAGGCAGCAGUGGGGAAUUUUGGACAAUGGGGGCAACCUUGAUCCAGCCAUCCCGCGUGUGCGAUGAAGGCCUUCGGGUUGUAAAGCACUUUUGGCAGGAAAGAAACGUCGCGGGCUAAUACCCCGUGGAACUGACGGUACCUGCAGAAUAAGCACCGGCUAACUACGUG
This 484-nucleotide ribosomal RNA is filed under the name uncultured bacterium. RNAcentral describes it as "partial 16S ribosomal RNA". It matches the Rfam family "Bacterial small subunit ribosomal RNA", at positions 30 to 507 of the family's 1533-position model. The record is from RNAcentral.